GGAGGAAUAUUGGGCAAUGGGCGAAAGCCUGACCCAGCAACGCCGCGUGAGGGAAGAAGGUUUUCGGAUCGUAAACCUCUGUCCUUAGUGAAGAGAGAAAGACGGUAGCUAAGGAGGAAGCCCCGGCUAACUACGUGCCAGCAGCCGCGGUAAUACGUAGGGGGCGAGCGUUGUCCGGAAUGAUUGGGCGUAAAGGGCGCGUAGGCGGCCUGUUAAGUCCGGAGUGAAAUUCCUGCUUUCAAGGUAGGAAGUGCUUUGGAAACUGGCGGGCUGGAGUGCAGGAGAGGUUAGCGGAAUUCCCGGUGUAGCGGUGAAAUGCGUAGAGAUCGGGAGGAACACCAGUGGCGAAGGCGGCUAACUGGACUGUAACUGACGCUGAGGCGCGAAAGUGUGGGGAGC
This 399-nucleotide ribosomal RNA is filed under the name uncultured bacterium. RNAcentral's name for it is "bacterial SSU rRNA". It matches the Rfam family "Bacterial small subunit ribosomal RNA", at positions 355 to 769 of the family's 1533-position model. The record is from RNAcentral.